CGUACAACGAGAAGUACAUCGCCUGGUGUAUAUAUAACACUCUGUUUGCUAAGAUCGUAGUUGGUCUUCUGAGAAUUGUUCUAGAUAACUUUCACAAUCCUGAUGUGGCGUAUGUCGUAAACAGUUUGUCAACGCAUGUCAUUGCCACCGUUAUGUUGGUUUUGCUCUUUGCUUUCAAGGUAUACUUCUUGAAAAAAUACAAUGUAAAUCAAAGAAGGCGUUCUCGGGGUAGUUCGUCUAUAGCCACAACGAUGACGGAUCUUCGUAAAUCACCAUUUCAUCUCAACC
This is a long non-coding RNA of Xenia sp. Carnegie-2017, 288 nucleotides long. RefSeq lists it as uncharacterized. The record is from RefSeq and is a predicted model, not a curated record. Lineage: Eukaryota; Metazoa; Cnidaria; Anthozoa; Malacalcyonacea; Xeniidae. The transcript has 3 exons.